UUUCCCGUCUAGGUGGCGCGAAGGGUGAAGUAACAGUGGGUAAUCUACCUUCGAGUCUGGAAUAACAGUUAAGAAAUGAUUGCUAAUGGCCGGAUGAUAUGUAAGAAGAUAUACUUCAUACAUUAAAAGGUGCCUCAAAGCAUCGCUUGAAGAUGAGCCUGCGCCGUAUUAGCUAGUUGGUGGGGUAAAGGCCUACCAAGGCGACGAUGCGUAGCCGACCUGAGAGGGUGAUCGGCCACACUGGGACUGAGACACGGCCCAGACUCCUACGGGAGACAGCAGUUAGGAAUAUUCGUCAAUGGGGGAAACCCUGAACGAGCAAUGCCGCGUGAAGGAUGACGGUCCUAUGGAUUGUAAACUUCUGUUGUUAGGGAAGAACGACCUAUGUAGGAAAUGACAUAGGAGUGACGGUACCUUUCAAGAAAGCUCCGGCUAACUACGUG
RNAcentral lists this ribosomal RNA (443 nucleotides) under uncultured bacterium. Its description in RNAcentral is "bacterial SSU rRNA". It matches the Rfam family "Bacterial small subunit ribosomal RNA", at positions 83 to 507 of the family's 1533-position model. The record is from RNAcentral.